UACAGAGGGGGCAAGCGUUGUUCGGAAUUACUGGGCGUAAAGGGCGCGCAGGCGGCGCAUUUUGUCAGGCGUGAAAGCCCCGGGCUUAACCUGGGAACUGCGUUUGAUACGGAUGGGCUAGAGUUCGGGAGAGGAGAGUGGAAUUCCCAGUGUAGAGGUGAAAUUCGUAGAUAUUGGGAAGAACACCGGUGGCGAAGGCGGCUCUCUGGACCGAGACUGACGCUGAGGCACGAAAGCGUGGGGAGCAAACAGG
RNAcentral lists this ribosomal RNA (253 nucleotides) under uncultured bacterium. Its description in RNAcentral is "partial 16S ribosomal RNA". It matches the Rfam family "Bacterial small subunit ribosomal RNA", at positions 524 to 776 of the family's 1533-position model. The record is from RNAcentral.